This 253-nucleotide ribosomal RNA is filed under the name uncultured bacterium. RNAcentral's name for it is "partial 16S ribosomal RNA". It matches the Rfam family "Bacterial small subunit ribosomal RNA", at positions 524 to 776 of the family's 1533-position model. The record is from RNAcentral.
UACGGAGGGUGCAAGCGUUAUCCGGAUUCACUGGGUUUAAAGGGUGCGUAGGUGGGCAGGUAAGUCAGUGGUGAAAUCUCCGGGCUUAACCCGGAAACUGCCGUUGAUACUAUCAGUCUUGAAUAUUGUGGAGGUAAGCGGAAUAUGUCACGUAGCGGUGAAAUGCUUAGAUAUGACAUAGAACACCGAUAGCGAAGGCAGCUUGCUACACAAUUAUUGACACUGAGGCUCGAAAGCGUGGGGAUCAAACAGG